GCGCAAGCCAGCCUGGCUGCUGGAGGAGCGCCGAGGCGCCGUUGCCUCCCACCGCCCCGGCGCGAGGGCAACGGCGAGCGGCGAGGAAGACGAGGCGCGCGGCCUCCACCUCCGCUGCUGCUGCCGCCGCCACAACAGACUGCGCGCAACACUCCGCCACAUGCCGACGGCAAACUACGCCCUCCCUUGCCCGGAAAGUUUCCGCUUCCGGUCACGAGGCCGGCAACUUCCGGAAACAAACCAACCGGCCCCGCGCCCAGCAUAGAGUUAAAACAAAAGCGGGCAAUGCGAACCUCCCUCACUUCGGGUUCACAUUUGGACGGCGUUCUAUGCCGGGUCUUCACAUGCUAGCCAGAACAGCAAGUUUUCUUCGCUAUAUUCUGUUCGAAGAAAUUCUCUGAAAAUAUUCCUACCGGCUGGUGUUUUCAUCAUCUUGUCAAAAUUUUGAGCCCAAGACAGGAUUUCAUCUUCUGUAGGGUUUUGGCUGCAAAACAAACAAACAAUGACAAGAGCAGCAGCAACAACAACAACGAAAAGCUAUUCUGUGUUUCUAAUUCUAAAAGCUAGCAGUCAAACAAUUCAAAUUUAGAAAGAGAAGACAGAAGUAGGUUGUCAGGUUAUGUACAGGAGUCAGAGAUGAGUGCUGGGAUUGGGGACAGACAUUUUGCCUCCCAUGGAAAUACAAAUCUUAUCUUAAUCCCAAAGCGCAGACCUCACAACAACAGAUAUUUCCUCAAACUGACAAGUCAGCAAGCAUGGAUGGAGAGCAGGUGCAUGCCCCCCCCCAGCAUGCAUUUACACUCCCCACACCAUACACCCUCUCCAAUGAGAGCUUCACUCUUUGACUUGAGUUGGCCAGAGGUGAAACAUGAGACGUGUGAAUUAAUUCUAAAAAGGAUAUUAAAAUUUGCUUCUAUAAACAAAAUGGCUGUGCAAUGGAUUAUUAAAACCUUUCUUCAACUUAUAAAGACCAGAAAUGUGGGAUACCAUUCUUUGAAACUAAUGGAUGCUAUCUUAUGAAAAAUCAUUCUUGUCCACAAGAUGGCAUUGCCUUGAAGUGGAAAGGGAAGAAAAAAGUUAGACUGAAAACCAUGAAGGCAAUUUUUUAAAAUCUCAGGUCUUGAAUUGGUGCAAUAGUUUAACUUAACAACAACAACAACAACAGUAAGCUCCAAUACUUUUAUGUUUGUAAUUUAUAGCAUGUAGUAAGGUUAUCAAUAAGACAGGAUUAGGCCAAUAACUUGAACUAAUAUAAAAAGGGAGGAGCAGCAGUAUAAUGUCAGAAAUUGAUGGUGUAAAGGAAGGCAAAUGAAAGAGGGUAGGGAGGCUAAUGAAAAACCAAUGAAAGGAAAAACUGGGGCAAAAGAAAAAGAAAAUUGUGUGCAUGUGAAUUCUGUGUAUGGCAACACUGGCUCCAGCCACACCUAUCACUAACCACACCCACUGGAUCCAAAAGCUCACACACUGCCACUUUGGGCCUAGAAGGCUGUCUGCUCCUAGUAUAGACAACACUGAGUGAGAUAGAUUAAUGGUCUGGCUCAGUAUAAGGCAGCACGUAUGUCUGAAAGGUAACUACAUCAGUGUAAUUGUGACAUGGGUAUGUAUCUGACGACAGAACAAGCGAUGAACUUCCCUGUUCUUCCAGAACCUCAGCUGAGUGUUGUCAGUUGUGUGAAUCCUCAGUGGAUGAUGCAACAGAGAGACCCAGCUCAGAUGACCAUUAAAAUUUCAACUGUGCCUUCCUGAGCCUUCCACUUGCAUUAAUUAAAAGAUCUGGUUUAUGAGAUUUCAAGUAGGAAUUGCCCCCACGCUUGCCAGCAUGUUUCUACAACCUGUUAGUUAACAAACUAACAGCCUGUUACUUAACUGACAAGCAACCUGUUAGUUUCACAAUCUGUUAUGUAUCAAACCACUGUAACUAACAUUGGUUAUAACUAUCCACAGUUCUCUAGGUUCAUACAUAACAUGGAACUGUGGUUUAUUCAACAGCAAAAGUGGAAGCGUUCACUCCCCUUUUAUUGCACAAGGAGGAGAGAGGACAAGAACACACACAAGCCCAUACCUGUAAGCAGUUUACAUAAGAGUAUGAAAUAUACAUUAAAAUAAUGCUAAAAAGCAGAUAUUAAGAAGAGCAAGUAAUCAUAGUAAUUAUCAGAAACUGAUAAACGGUUUUAAAAAUAAAUAUA
This is a long non-coding RNA of Podarcis raffonei (Aeolian wall lizard), 2186 nucleotides long. RefSeq lists it as uncharacterized. Lineage: Eukaryota; Metazoa; Chordata; Lepidosauria; Squamata; Lacertidae. The transcript is spliced from 2 exons. The record is from RefSeq and is a predicted model, not a curated record.